Molecule: long non-coding RNA, 1319 nt
Organism: Hordeum vulgare subsp. vulgare (domesticated barley)
Lineage: Eukaryota; Viridiplantae; Streptophyta; Magnoliopsida; Poales; Poaceae
Exons: 3
Source: RefSeq, a predicted model, not a curated record
CGGCUCUCCACAUAAACAUCCAUAUCAGGCAAUCAUCAGCGUGAUGAAGAAUCCAUGCAGAUUUUGUAAUUUCAGAUGGGAAUAAAAGGUACAGUGUUUGCAGAUCAGAUGGGCAUCUCCACCAGGACCUUGCUAGCAGAAAGGCAGAAGAUCAACUUUAAAUUGCUGAAAGUUCUUGCAUGACAAUCACAAGGGAAAGGCACCAAGGAAUUUCCCCGCACUGCAAACUACCUACACCUGACUUCCGUGGAUGUACUCUCGCCAUGCAUGCCAACCCUCUCCGCUGCGGCGCUACCUAUGAUUCCUCUAUACUGUUAGGACCAGCUGGGAACAGCGCUAAAGUUCAUCUAAUCCAGGAUGGGCUACAGUACCGGCAUGGCAGGGUGCACUGGCAAAAUGGGCCAGGAACAGGAAAACAGAGUAAGUCAGUGCCGUAGUUGGUAAUGGGGUGCCGGCUUGCUGAUGGGUGGGCCCAGAGACUGGGUCGGUGUGGAUUGAACUCUUUUAUGUAUAACGAGAAUGACAAGCAGGCCCAGUAGUGGCUAAAUGAGAGUGGUGCAAGUGAAGCUGCUCCUCUUCUUUCUCGAGUAGCAAAAAGUGAUGGUUAUUCUCUCCAAUCCCUUAUCUCCUUUGUGUUCUCCCCCCUCCUUUUUUCUGUGUUGUUCUGGUCUUGCCAUGACGGCGAUCAUAUCUUAGGUGACGGUGACAUAACAUCGUUGCAGCAGCUUAUGCUGACUCCUGUGGGGCCAUGUAAUCUCUGCUAGAUUUUCCAUUUCUAAGGGCUUACAGGUUUGACGUUUGCCGUUGAUUUUUCUUAUAUCUCUGGCAUUGAUUUACUGGUUUCUCUAGCAAUCGCAGGUCAAUUCAUCCAGUGUCAAGAACAGAAGGGUGUGAUAACAUGCAGCAGCAAGAAUGGGUUGGUCAGAACAAUUAAGGGAUCUUUUUAUCUACACUGCUGUAUAGUUACUAAUCUUUCACCAAAGUAAAGAGGCAAGCCUCACGAUUGAUCAGAUUUAAUUGGAUUGAUCCAAUGGCUCAGAGUGAAGGGGUUCGCACCAUCUACUGUUCUUGAGUGAAAAUCAUGCAUAUUCAUCUGGAGCCAUCAUAGAUGGUUGGGAUUCAAACACGGACUCGUCUUUUUGACGGGUUUGAACGAGGAACGGGAUGAGAACAAGUACUAAUCAGGACACUGUUAGUGUCCAUCUUAAUCCAAUUCCGGGGCCCUAGUUCCUGAAAUUUUACGCGUAUCCAUUGUUGUUUCUUUUAUGUAUCAGAAUUGCUAAAAUGCAGGUGCCUUAUAUUUUGUGACGUUUCAAUCA